UACAGAGGAGCCAAGCGUUGUCCGGAUUGACUGGGCGUAAAGCGCACGCAGGCGGACGCGCGCGUGGGGUGUGAAAUCUGGCCGCUUAACGGCCAGGCGCCAUCCCAUACGGCGCGUCUGGAGUGAUGCAGAGGUCGGUGGAAUUGCCGGUGUAGUGGUGAAAUGCGUAGAGAUCGGGAAGAACAUCAGUGGCGAAGGCGGCCUGCUGGGCUGUUGCUGACGCUGAGGCGCGACAGCGUGGGGAGCAAACAGG
Molecule: ribosomal RNA, 253 nt
Filed under: uncultured bacterium
Lineage: Bacteria
Description: partial 16S ribosomal RNA
Rfam family: Bacterial small subunit ribosomal RNA
Source: RNAcentral